This 404-nucleotide ribosomal RNA is filed under the name Actinomycetes bacterium. RNAcentral describes it as "Actinobacteria bacterium partial 16S ribosomal RNA". It matches the Rfam family "Bacterial small subunit ribosomal RNA", at positions 355 to 776 of the family's 1533-position model. Lineage: Bacteria; Bacillati; Actinomycetota; Actinomycetes. The record is from RNAcentral.
UGGGGAAUAUUGGACAAUGGGCGCAAGCCUGAUCCAGCCAUGCCGCGUGAGUGAUGAAGGCCCUCGGGCUGUAAAGCUCUUUCACCGGUGAAGAUAAUGACGGUAACCGGAGAAGAAGCCCCGGCUAACUUCGUGCCAUCAGCCGCGGUAAUACGAAGGGUGCUAGCGUUGUUCGGAUUUACUGGGCGUAAAGCGCACGUAGGCGGACUAUUAAGUCAGGGGUGAAAUCCCGGGGCUCAACCCCGGAACUGCCUUUGAUACUGGUAGUCUUAAGUUCGAGAGAGGUGAGUGGAAUUCCGAGUGUAGAGGUGAAAUGCGUAGAUAUUCGGAGGAACACCAGUGGCGAAGGCGGCUAACUGGCUCGAUACUGACGAUGAGGUGCGAAAGCGUGGGGAGCAAACAGG